CUCAAGGUUUUUCUAAAAACCAUAAAAAAUAGUCGUGCACGCGACG
Picea glauca (white spruce) is the source of this 46-nucleotide non-coding RNA. Lineage: Eukaryota; Viridiplantae; Streptophyta; Pinopsida; Pinales; Pinaceae. The record is from Rfam.